AAUUAUAUUAAUUUAUAAAAUUAUUUUUAUAUAAUUAUUUUUUGAAUAAAAUAUUUCUCUACUUAAUAAUUGUUUAAUUUGAAAUAUUUCAAAUUAUUAUUAUUUUUUUUAAUCCUACUUGCAAGGCAUUAAUUUAGGACACACUUUCUACAUGUUUCUGAUCCAUGCAUAUGCCAG
This is a long non-coding RNA of Juglans microcarpa x Juglans regia, 177 nucleotides long. RefSeq lists it as uncharacterized. The transcript is spliced from 3 exons. Lineage: Eukaryota; Viridiplantae; Streptophyta; Magnoliopsida; Fagales; Juglandaceae. The record is from RefSeq and is a predicted model, not a curated record.